GACGAACGCUGGCGGCAUGCCUAACACAUGCAAGUCGAACGAGACCUUCGGGUCUGGUUGCGCACGGGUGCGUAACGCGUGGGAACCUGCCCUUAGGUUCGUAAUAACUCCCCGCAAGUGUUGCUCAUCCCUGAUAAUGUCUUCUUACCAAAGAUUUAUCGCCUUUGUAUGGGCCCUCGUUGGAUUAGCUAUUUGGUAGUGUAAAAGCCUACCAAGGCGACGAUCCAUAGCUGGUCUGAGAGGAUGAUCAGCGACACUGGGACUGAGACACGGCCCAGACUCCUACGGGAGGCAGCAGUGGGGAAUAUUGGACAAUGGGGGAAAGCCUGAGCCAGCAAUGCCGCGUGAGUGAAGAAGGCCUUAGGGUUGUAAAGAUCUUUUAACCGGGAUGAUAAUGACAGUACCGGGAGAAUAAGCACCGGCUAACUCCGUG
Molecule: ribosomal RNA, 433 nt
Filed under: uncultured bacterium
Lineage: Bacteria
Description: partial 16S ribosomal RNA
Rfam family: Bacterial small subunit ribosomal RNA
Source: RNAcentral